Long non-coding RNA from Frankliniella occidentalis (western flower thrips), 219 nucleotides. RefSeq lists it as uncharacterized. Lineage: Eukaryota; Metazoa; Arthropoda; Insecta; Thysanoptera; Thripidae. The record is from RefSeq and is a predicted model, not a curated record. The transcript is spliced from 2 exons.
CCCCCUCAACCUUAUUGUGGUCAAAGGGAAAUGUUUCCCGUUCAUUUACUUUUCAUUGGCCAAAAGAGGAGUGCAGUACGACGCCAAUUCAGGAGGCAGUAAAUUGAAGAUUAUUUGGUGCACUGGGUAAAUGUCAAGAAAGUGGUUGAGAAGUACUUUUCAGAGCUAUGUUCAUACAGCAACAAGUUGUCUCAAAAUAGAAAACUUUGCAACAUAAAA